Molecule: ribosomal RNA, 484 nt
Filed under: uncultured bacterium
Lineage: Bacteria
Description: partial 16S ribosomal RNA
Rfam family: Bacterial small subunit ribosomal RNA
Source: RNAcentral
GACGAACGCUGGCGGUGUGCUUAACACAUGCAAGUCGAACGGAAAGGCCCUGCUUUUGUGGGGUGCUCGAGUGGCGAACGGGUGAGUAACACGUGAGUAACCUGCCCUUGACUUUGGGAUAACUUCAGGAAACUGGGGCUAAUACCGGAUAGGAGCUCCUGCUGCAUGGUGGGGGUUGGAAAGUUUCGGCGGUUGGGGAUGGACUUGCGGCUUAUCAGCUUGUUGGUGGGGUAGUGGCUUACCAAGGCUUUGACGGGUAGCCGGCCUGAGAGGGUGACCGGCCACAUUGGGACUGAGAUACGGCCCAGACUCCUACGGGAGGCAGCAGUGGGGAAUAUUGCACAAUGGGCGGAAGCCUGAUGCAGCAACGCCGCGUGCGGGAUGACGGACUUCGGGUUGUAAACCGCUUUCGCCUGUGACGAAGCGUGAGUGACGGUAAUGGGUAAAGAAGCACCGGCUAACUACGUGCCAGCAGCCGCCGUAA